CUUCCACGUCCCCACUCUUCUCCUAUAAAAAUCCUCUCCAUACUUGCUUCAGUUCCACACCAACUCCAGAUUUUCUCCACUAUUAAAUUCUCUACAACCUCAUCACAAUUUCAUUUACAUCUACAAAUCUUUUGCCCUCAAAACAACUCAAAAUCCCAGCUUCUUACCAAGAGUAGCAGGCGACAGUUCGUAGCUCAAAAUCACAGCCCUGCAAAAUUUACUUCAUAACAGAACUCCUCAUUAAGGUCCACUUGAUAGCAGGCUUUAGCAUUGGCUUUACAAGGCAAGAGAAUUUGUGCAUCUUUUAUCUACGAGCUUGUUCUAUCAAGGUUGAGCGGCAGAUGGUGCGAAGCUGAGGGUGUUGCUGUAUUUUCACUAAGGUGGAUAUUAUUUGAGAUUAGCUAUUUUAAUAUUCAUAGCCUAUUUAAUAUGAACUUCUGAUGUCAUCGCUUUCCUAGCGAUUAUUCCUCUCAUAUAAUAUUCGCUUAGUACUAAAUGUUACUCCCUCCGUCCCAGGCCAAUAGGCCCAGUUGCUUUCGGCACGGAGAUUAAGAAAGUCACUUUUUGGUAGGUAAAUGGUGUGGUCCACCAACAAUUAAUGUUUUAAGUGUUCUCUUA
Long non-coding RNA from Salvia miltiorrhiza (redroot sage), 618 nucleotides. RefSeq lists it as uncharacterized. NCBI's taxonomy places the organism in Eukaryota, Viridiplantae, Streptophyta, Magnoliopsida, Lamiales, Lamiaceae. The record is from RefSeq and is a predicted model, not a curated record. The transcript has 3 exons.